Molecule: transfer RNA, 73 nt
Filed under: Bos taurus (domestic cattle)
Lineage: Eukaryota; Metazoa; Chordata; Mammalia; Artiodactyla; Bovidae
Also listed under: 2 other names
Rfam family: tRNA
About the family: Transfer RNA (tRNA) molecules are approximately 80 nucleotides in length. Their secondary structure includes four short double-helical elements and three loops (D, anti-codon, and T loops).
Source: Rfam by way of RNAcentral
UCCCUGGUAGUCCAGUGGUUAGGACUCUGUGCUUCCACUGCAGGGGGCACAGGUUCAAUUCCUGGUUGAGAAU